Molecule: ribosomal RNA, 470 nt
Filed under: uncultured Sphingobacterium sp.
Lineage: Bacteria; Pseudomonadati; Bacteroidota; Sphingobacteriia; Sphingobacteriales; Sphingobacteriaceae
Description: bacterial SSU rRNA
Rfam family: Bacterial small subunit ribosomal RNA
Source: RNAcentral
AGAGUUUGAUCAUGGCUCAGAAUGAACGCUGGCGGCAUGCCUAACACAUGCAAGUCGAACGAAGGCUUCGGCCUUAGUGGCGCACGGGUGCGUAACGCGUGGGAAUCUGCCCUCAGGUUCGGAAUAGCAGCGAGAAAUUGCUGCUAAUACCGGAUGAUAUCGCGAGAUCAAAGAUUUAUCGCCUGAGGAUGAGCCCGCGUAGGAUUAGCUAGUUGGUGUGGUAAAGGCGCACCAAGGCGACGAUCCCUAGCUGGUCUGAGAGGAUGAUCAGCCACACUGGGACUGAGACACGGCCCAGACUCCUACGGGAGGCAGCAGUGGGGAAUAUUGGACAAUGGGCGAAAGCCUGAUCCAGCAAUGCCGCGUGAGUGAUGAAGGCCUUAGGGUUGUAAAGCUCUUUUACCCGGGAUGAUAAUGACAGUACCGGGAGAAUAAGCUCCGGCUAACUCCGUGCCAGCAGCCGCGGUAAU